GAUGAACGCUGGCGGCGUGCCUAAUACAUGCAAGUCGAGCGAACAGAUGAGGAGCUUGCUCCUCUGACGUUAGCGGCGGACGGGUGAGUAACACGUGGAUAACCUACCUAUAAGACUGGGAUAACUUCGGGAAACCGGAGCUAAUACCGGAUAAUAUAUUGAACCGCAUGGUUCAAUAGUGAAAGACGGUUUUGCUGUCACUUAUAGCUGGAUCCGCGCCGCAUUAGCUAGUUGGUAAGGUAACGGCUUACCAAGGCAACGAUGCGUAGCCGACCUGAGAGGGUGAUCGGCCACACUGGAACUGAGACACGGUCCAGACUCCUAAGGGAGGCAGCAGUAGGGAAUCUUACGCAAUGGGCGAAAGCCUGACGGAGCAACGCCGCGUGAGUGAUGAAAGUCUUCGGAUCGUAAAACUCUGUUAUUAGGGAAGAACAAAUGUGUAAGUAACUAUGCACGUCUUGACGGUACCUAAUCAGAAAGCCACGGCUAACUACGUG
This 497-nucleotide ribosomal RNA is filed under the name uncultured bacterium. RNAcentral's name for it is "partial 16S ribosomal RNA". It matches the Rfam family "Bacterial small subunit ribosomal RNA", at positions 28 to 507 of the family's 1533-position model. The record is from RNAcentral.